This is a transfer RNA of Camelus ferus (Wild Bactrian camel), 72 nucleotides long. It matches the Rfam family "tRNA". From Rfam's summary of the family: Transfer RNA (tRNA) molecules are approximately 80 nucleotides in length. Their secondary structure includes four short double-helical elements and three loops (D, anti-codon, and T loops). The record is from Rfam. NCBI's taxonomy places the organism in Eukaryota, Metazoa, Chordata, Mammalia, Artiodactyla, Camelidae.
GAAGGUAUAGCUCAGUAGUAGAGCACGUGCUUAGCAUGCAUGAGGCCCUGGGUUCAAUCCCCAGUACCUCCA